RNA transcript from Chenopodium quinoa (quinoa), 1862 nucleotides. RefSeq lists it as uncharacterized. NCBI's taxonomy places the organism in Eukaryota, Viridiplantae, Streptophyta, Magnoliopsida, Caryophyllales, Amaranthaceae. The transcript is spliced from 3 exons. The record is from RefSeq and is a predicted model, not a curated record.
UGGUGCUAUACAUGUCUUAUUUUGCUCCAUAUGUGUAUGCAUUACAGUGAGAAAGUUACUGCUACUAUUUUGAGUAUAUAGACCAUGGUUUUUUGCUUAAUUUUGCUUGUUUCUUGAGUAGUUUACUCCUCAUGAUUUGGUUGACAAUAUUUGUUAUUUGAUUAACUAGAGAUUGAUAUAACUAUUGUUUUGCCAUUUAUCAGGUUCAAUUGCCAUUUAUUUUCUGUGUUUCUUGUACAAUGCCUCGACUUAUGCAUUCUAUAAGGAAGAAAAAGCUAAAACAAAUACAAAUAGUAAUUGCAAUGGUUAUUAUUAUGUUGAUGAUGUAUUGGAUGUGGUAUAUAAUUAGCGUUGUUACAAUAAGGGGGGUUCAAAUAAAAGAUAGGAAAAGAAACAAAAAAUUGUUACGGAUGUUAGUAUUGAGAGGGCUUUAUAGGAGAGUGAUGUGAAAUGCAAGAGUGAGCUUCGCGUUAAUAGAAAAACUUUCAAUAUUAUUUGUGAGAUGCUUAGAGACAUUGGGGGUUUGAGUGGAACAAAAACAUGUCGCUUCAAGAGAUAGUAGCCAUGUUUUUAUACACGUUGGCUCAUCAUAAGAAGAAUAGGUCUAUUGGACAUUACUUCUAUAGAAGUGGAGAAACCGUGAGCCGACAAUUUCACCUUUGUCUAAGGGCUUUUCUCAAGUUGCAUGAAGUACUACUUUACAAUCCCACACAAAUAUUGGAUGAUUGUGAAGAUGAAAGGUGGAAAUCCUUCAAGAAUUGUUUAGGGGCAUUAGAUGGGACUUACAUUAAUGUAAAUGUGCCUUCAAAAGAACGACCAAAGUAUAGAACAAGAAAAGGAACGAUUGCUAUGAAUGUAUUGGGUGUUUGUGCACCUAAUAUGCAAUUUAUUUAUGUUCUUCCUGGUUGGGAAGACUCGGCCCAUGAUAUGCGUGUACUUCGAAAUGCUCUUUCUAGACCAAACGGUUUUAGAGUACCUUGAGAUGGAGGCUAGUCAAGCUAAGGGUGAGGCAAGCAAUCGAGGUAGAGGUAAAAAUAAAAGGUAUUGGACGUAUGAAGCUCAUCAUCUUCUAUCAAGCUCCAACUAAUAUGAAGAAACAAUAUGCAAUUGAUCUUCUUAAGAAGAAGUAGAAAGUUUUGUCCUAAGUUGUUAUUGGAGUUAAUGUUUUAAUGGUUUUUAAAUACUUUUUUUUUAUUAUUUUUUUUUUUUUGAGAAUACUAGAAUUUCAAUGCUUUUGUAGUCAACAACUUAUGUGACUUUGCCUAUAUAUCUAGCAUAUGAUAUAUUAUGGUAAUCGGUUCAAAAAAUAUAUAUAUGUAUAUUAUGGUAAUUAGUGUUGCUCUACAUUGUAUAAUGUAUAUCAAAAGUUAGCCAAGACAUCAAAAAUUAGAAGGAAAACUAUUUGUUUCCAAGUUAUCUAUGCCAAACAAGAGGAAAGGGAUUGAUUACAAUUAUUUACGUUUCCUUAGUAAUACCAAACAACUAGUAAGGGUAACACUAUAUAUUACCCUUUCCCCUUCUAAUUUGUUUCCAUUCCCUUACAUUUACUAAUUUGAUACCAAACACCCCCUAAAUGUGUAACCAUUGUAAUUGUUUUCAAUCUCAACCAUUAAAAUUUUAAGGAUAAAUCUUGUUCACUUAUUUGUUUGACUAUGAAAAAAAAAAAUAUUUUAAAAAUAACUGUUUGUUUUUAUGAAAAAAAUAUCAUGUUUUUGUCGCCAAAUACAAGCAGUUUCGAUUUCUCUACCAAGCAAAUCUCUCAAUCUCCAUUAAUGGUACAACAACAAAUUACCAUUGUUAAAUUAUCAUCGAGAAUCGAAAUAUUAGAUAUUUUAUCCUUAACUCAGUAAGUCAGUAUCAUC